This 253-nucleotide ribosomal RNA is filed under the name uncultured bacterium. Its description in RNAcentral is "partial 16S ribosomal RNA". It matches the Rfam family "Bacterial small subunit ribosomal RNA", at positions 524 to 776 of the family's 1533-position model. The record is from RNAcentral.
GACAGAGGGUGCAAACGUUGUUCGGAAUUACUGGGCGUAAAGCGUGUGUAGGCGGCUAAGUAAGUCGGAUGUGAAAGCCCCGGGCUCAACCCGGGAAGUGCACUCGAUACUGCUUAGCUUGAGUAUCGGAGAGGUUGGUGGAAUUCUCGGUGUAGAGGUGAAAUUCGUAGAUAUCGAGAGGAACACCGGUGGCGAAGGCGGCCAACUGGACGAAUACUGACGCUGAGACACGAAAGCGUGGGGAGCAAACAGG